Molecule: ribosomal RNA, 432 nt
Filed under: uncultured bacterium
Lineage: Bacteria
Description: partial 16S ribosomal RNA
Rfam family: Bacterial small subunit ribosomal RNA
Source: RNAcentral
AACGAACGCUGGCGGCAUGCCUAACACAUGCAAGUCGAACGAGACCUUCGGGUCUAGUGGCGCACGGGUGCGUAACGCGUGGGAACCUGCCCUUAGGUUCGGAAUAACUCCCCGAAAGGGGUGCUAAUACCGGAUAAUGUCUUCGGACCAAAGAUUUAUCGCCUUUGGAUGGGCCCGCGUUGGAUUAGCUAGUUGGUAGGGUAAAAGCCUACCAAGGCGACGAUCCAUAGCUGGUCUGAGAGGAUGAUCAGCCACACUGGGACUGAGACACGGCCCAGACUCCUACGGGAGGCAGCAGUGGGGAAUAUUGGACAAUGGGCGAAAGCCUGAUCCAGCAAUGCCGCGUGAGUGAUGAAGGCCUUAGGGUUGUAAAGCUCUUUUACCCGGGAUGAUAAUGACAGUACCGGGAGAAUAAGCUCCGACUAACUCCGU